RNAcentral lists this ribosomal RNA (441 nucleotides) under uncultured bacterium. RNAcentral describes it as "partial 16S ribosomal RNA". It matches the Rfam family "Bacterial small subunit ribosomal RNA", at positions 338 to 795 of the family's 1533-position model. The record is from RNAcentral.
CCUACGGGAGGCUGCAGUGAGGAAUAUUGGGCAAUGGGGGCAACCCUGACCCAGCCAUGCCGCGUGAGUGAAGAAGGUCUUCGGAUUGUAAAGCUCUUUCGGACGUGACGAUGAUGACGGUAGCGUCUAAAGAAGCACCGGCAAACUUCGUGCCAGCAGCCGCGGUAAUACGAAGGGUGCGAGCGUUAUCCGGAUUUAUUGGGUUUAAAGGGUGCGUAGGCUGGGAGGUAAGUCAGCGGUGAAAUGCCCCCGCUCAACGGGGUGAAGUGCCAUUGAUACUGCCUUGCUGGAAUGCGGAUGCCGUGGGAGGAAUGUGUGGUGUAGCGGUGAAAUGCAUAGAUAUCACACAGAACACCGAUUGCGAAGGCAUCUCACGAAUCCGCGAUUGACGCUGAUGCACGAAAGCGUGGGUAUCAAACAGGAUUAGAUACCCUUGUAGUC